UACAGAGGGGGCUAGCGUUAUUCGGAAUUAUUGGGCGUAAAGGGCGCGUAGGCGGCCAUGCGUGUCUUCCGUGAAAUCCCUCGGCUUAACUGAGGACGUGCGGAAGAAACUGCAAGGCUCGAGUCCGGGAGAGGGGGGUGGAAUUCCCAGUGUAGCGGUGAAAUGCGUAGAUAUCGGGAGGAACACCUGUGGUGUAGACGGCUAUCUGGACGGCGACUGACGCUGAGACACGAAAGCGUGGGUAGCAAACAGG
RNAcentral lists this ribosomal RNA (253 nucleotides) under uncultured bacterium. Its description in RNAcentral is "partial 16S ribosomal RNA". It matches the Rfam family "Bacterial small subunit ribosomal RNA", at positions 524 to 776 of the family's 1533-position model. The record is from RNAcentral.